RNAcentral lists this long non-coding RNA (240 nucleotides) under Mus pahari (shrew mouse). RNAcentral describes it as "sRNA (MGP_PahariEiJ_G0008246.1)". It matches the Rfam family "WT1 antisense RNA conserved region 3". Lineage: Eukaryota; Metazoa; Chordata; Mammalia; Rodentia; Muridae. The record is from RNAcentral.
UAGGCAAAUAGAAGCCUACGGAGUAGCGAGUGUAGUGGGUUUCGUGGGGCAGACUUGGGGACUCUUGGAGGCAGCAGCGACUGCGCACCCUGGGACUGACUGCCAGGCGCAUGGGCCUGGAAGCCGCUGGUGGCAGUCAGGCAUCUGGAACCAGGAUGAGGCUUGAAGCUUUCUAACUAGACCUGUGGGGGGAAAACAGUCAAGAAUGUUGACUGUAAACACAAAGAAACCUAGCAUUUC